GUAGGGGGCAAGCGUUGUCCGGAUUUAUUGGGCGUAAAGAGCGUGUAGGCGGCUUGGUAGGUCCGCUGUGAAAACUCGAGGCUCAACCUCGAGAUGUCGGCGGAAACCACUUGGCUAGAGUCCGGAAGAGGAGAGUGGAAUUCCCGGUGUAGCGGUGAAAUGCGCAGAUAUCGGGAAGAACACCUAUGGCGAAGGCAGCUCUCUGGGACGGUACUGACGCUGAGACGCGAAAGCGUGGGGAGCGAACAGGAUUAGAUACCCUGGUAGUCCACGCCGUAAACGAUGGGUGCUAGGUGUGGGCGGUGUCGACUCCGUCCGUGCCGAAGCUAACGCAUUAAGCACCCCGCCUGGGGAGUACGGCCGCAAGG
RNAcentral lists this ribosomal RNA (368 nucleotides) under uncultured bacterium. Its description in RNAcentral is "bacterial SSU rRNA". It matches the Rfam family "Bacterial small subunit ribosomal RNA", at positions 527 to 893 of the family's 1533-position model. The record is from RNAcentral.